GUGGGAGUGGCUUUGUAUUUAUGUUUUAUUGAUGUUUUAUUGUUAUGAUUCUUUUUCAUCUCAUACAUCUAUGAUGAAUACUAAUAUACAUUAUUGAUAUGAUAAAUUGAUGGUACAUUUGUAUUAAUUCUUUUAGUUAUGUGUACAUAUUUAUUUUAGUAUACUUGUAGAUAUUUCUUUGUUAUAUACCUGUUAUAUGAAAUUUGAGACUAGGC
This 215-nucleotide long non-coding RNA is filed under the name Elaeis guineensis (African oil palm). Its description in RNAcentral is "long non-coding RNA (EGUI_LNC054521)". Lineage: Eukaryota; Viridiplantae; Streptophyta; Magnoliopsida; Arecales; Arecaceae. The record is from RNAcentral.